This is a long non-coding RNA of Camelus dromedarius (Arabian camel), 432 nucleotides long. RefSeq lists it as uncharacterized. The record is from RefSeq and is a predicted model, not a curated record. NCBI's taxonomy places the organism in Eukaryota, Metazoa, Chordata, Mammalia, Artiodactyla, Camelidae. The transcript has 2 exons.
UUUCUCGCUUCCUCUUCUUUUUCUUACCCUGGAAGAUAACGGCCAAAGGGAGAGAACUGUGUGGGGUUCCUGAUCUUCUUGGACAGGGUCCCAAGUCUCACUGAAAAUCUAACACAGCUAUGAAGACUCUUCACAGAAGAAAAGCAAGCAAGAACGUACAUUGAACAACCUGCCCAGUUUCAGGGCGUUUGUUAGAAGUGCCAGCAGCGGCUCGCACGCUGGUCUUUGAGCCCCAGGGUGGGAAGCCUUGGCCAGAGACACUGUGACCAGCAGAGCUAGCACACAGCUCACACGGCACCCUGAAUUACAGAACGAAAGGUUGAGUCCGCUUCCAAUGGGACGGGCACAAAUUUAAGUCUGUCCUCAGGACACCAAAACCAAGACCUUGUUGAUCUCCUGAGAAUUAAAGUGACUUCCUUCCGUCUAGGGAAA